Molecule: ribosomal RNA, 253 nt
Filed under: uncultured bacterium
Lineage: Bacteria
Description: partial 16S ribosomal RNA
Rfam family: Bacterial small subunit ribosomal RNA
Source: RNAcentral
UACGUAGGGGGCAAGCGUUGUCCGGAUUUAUUGGGCGUAAAGAGUGUGUAGGUGGCCUAGUAAGUCUGCUGUGAAAACUCGAGGCUUAACCUCGAGCUGUCGGCGGAAACUAUUUGGCUAGAGUCCGGAAGAGGAGAAUGGAAUUCCCGGUGUAGCGGUGAAAUGCGCAGAUAUCGGGAAGAACACCCGUGGCGAAGGCGGUUCUCUGGGACGGUACUGACGCUGAGACGCGAAAGCUUGGGGAGCGAACAGG